UGACCUCGAAUCAGGU
RNAcentral lists this non-coding RNA (16 nucleotides) under Beauveria caledonica. Lineage: Eukaryota; Fungi; Ascomycota; Sordariomycetes; Hypocreales; Cordycipitaceae. RNAcentral also lists the same sequence under 12 other names. The record is from RNAcentral.